CUACGGGGCGCAGCAGUGAGGAAUUUUGCGCAAUGGGGGAAACCCUGACGCAGCAACGCCGCGUGAGUGAUGAAGGCCUACGGGUCGUAAAACUCUGUCAAGUGGGAAGAACCUAUGUAAGGUUAAUACCCUUAUGUACUGACGGUACCACUGAAGGAAGCACCGGCUAACUCCGUGCCAGCAGCCGCGGUAAUACGGAGGGUGCAAGCGUUAUUCGGAAUUAUUGGGCGUAAAGGGCGCGCAGGCGGUUUUGUAAGUCAGAUGUGAAAGCCCGGGGCUUAACCUCGGAAGUGCAUUUGAUACUGCAAGACUAGAGUAUGGGAGGGGGAAGUGGAAUUCCUGGUGUAGAGGUGAAAUUCGUAGAUAUCAGGAGGAACACCAGUGGCGAAGGCGACUUCCUGGACCAAUACUGACGCUGAGGCGCGAAGGCGUGGGGAGCAAACAGGAUUAGAUACCCCCGUAGUC
This 465-nucleotide ribosomal RNA is filed under the name uncultured bacterium. RNAcentral's name for it is "partial 16S ribosomal RNA". It matches the Rfam family "Bacterial small subunit ribosomal RNA", at positions 339 to 795 of the family's 1533-position model. The record is from RNAcentral.